This 3837-nucleotide long non-coding RNA is filed under the name Fukomys damarensis (Damara mole-rat). RNAcentral describes it as "lncRNA (ENSFDAG00000030615.1)". Lineage: Eukaryota; Metazoa; Chordata; Mammalia; Rodentia; Bathyergidae. The record is from RNAcentral.
GGUCCGCACCCCAGCAGCGGCCUCAAAAUGGCCACACGCGCACCCCCCUACAAAAAAACGUGAGCAUUCGUCCUUUUUCUAGCGGGGAAGCUGCCUGCCUCCUCCACCAAAUCCCGCGUCCUUUUCCUCCCUCUCCCCGCACCCGCUAGGGACGCCACGCUCCUCUCCUCGGCUCCUUUCGAUGGGGGGCAUUUUCUACCGACACCUCCGCCCUCGGCGCCGCGGCCCCUCCUGCCUCGGAGACUCUCUUCCUUCCUUCCCCUUUUUCCUUACGCAAUAUACAGAAAUGCGCGAGGCGGUGGUUGGUUUUCAUUUCUUCUUGGUGGUUGUGUUCGUGCGGUGGGAUUGUGAGAGUGCGCGCUCGCGCGUGUGUGUGUGUGUGUGUGUGUGUGUGUGUGUGUGUGAGAGAGAGAGAGAGAGAGAGAGAGAGAGCCGUGAGCAAGGCCAACUGAGCCCGAGUGUGGUCUUUUUGGCGAUUGGUUGCAUGUCCGAGUGUGAUGGUGCCUGCGCUGUUUGGACCGCCCAGGACCACACCGCAGCCUAACUGCUGGCCUCUCCGCUAGAGAGGCUCAGAAAGCAGAGACCCGGAGCACAGCUUCGACCUCUCCUUGUCGGAAGAGUGGAGGUCCUAUUCCAAGGGGCCGGUCUCUCUAAAUAUGCCCGAGGUGAGUAUUUGAAGGGUGGUGGUGGUAGUGAUGUAGUAGAAAGAAUGUCCAGGAAGUCCUUGGGGUUCCCGCCUGGGGUGGGGGUGGAGUUGGGGGGGACCCAAUCUCAGACUGAGGCUAGGGGAGGAGAAGACCAUCAAGGGUUGCCAGUCCAGCAUCUGACUGCCCUUAGCUGCCUAAGGCCUCCAACUGGGCCCUUUCCUUUUUCCGGCCUCCGGUGAAACCAGAUGGUUGGACUAUGGUAGGUCCUCCUGGUCCCCCAACCCCCAAUGGGAUCUGUGGACGUUUCUCAAGGCCGGUAACUUUGUUGUGACUGCAUCCGGGUACUGCAUGCUGCUUGGAGUUCAGCAGGAAGAAGGCCGAGGUCAUCCCGGCCAGCACAAAGCCUUUGGUUGGGGUGGGCCUGAGGCCUAGGGCGAGCUGCGCUGAAACACCUCUCUGUUCUCCGAGCUCGGAUAGCGCCCAGAUCAUUAGGGGUUGGUUUGGUGCAAUUUUGGGGCUCCCCCUGGGUAUCCUGUGGUAUGAGUGGCACAAGAGGGACCCAAGGCCAGGUCUAAAGCAGUGGCUCAGACACUAUUUCAUCUAAGAAAUUCUCUGUGCUUUGGGGAUUGAGAGCUGCUGCAGACCCUUGUUGCCUGGCCCCAGCAAGGCACUCCUGGUCUCCCCCUUCAGCACACACUGAAACAUUCUAGCCCACUGGCAACUGGGGGGUAUCAGGGCAGCAAGCUGGAUCUCUGCUGCAUAAAGAGAGGAAUUACAGCUCUAAAUAUUCUAGUCUAAAGUCAUUCAGUCCUAAAACCACCCCCCUUCUCCAUCCUCCUCCAAUAAAAUAAAUACAGCAGAUACAACUACUCAGGCUUUCCUUUCAGUAAACUUAACUGAGGUCAAGAAACGCAGUUUAGUCUCUGACAACCACAGGUGCUUGUGAGUCCUCUGGUGGCUUCCUCCUGGCAUAGACUACUGGCCUGGUAAAUCCUAGGCUAAGAAGAGCUGGCUGGAUUUUCCUAAGGUGGGACAAAAGAAGUCUACCAUAGACUGUCAGGAGGGCCAAGCUGUAUUCCUCACAAGAAGCCUUGGAGAUAAGGCUAUUUAUCGAUGUCCGGAGAGGGAAUUUUGGGCCAGAUCAAUUCACCUGGAAUAUGUGAUCCCUUUGCCCCUUGGGAACCUGCCUGUGCUGUUGGGGUGGAAUUAAUCAGAAGGUAUAAAUGUGCCAUAGUGGAGCUUGAGCUCAGCUGGGAUUGCAGUGCACAUUGUUUGUCACUCACAUAGAACGGUAGGCUGAGGCACCUGUGCUUGACUGGAUGGUGCUGGUGGUAAUAGAGAAGUAGAGAGCCAGAACCUCCCUUGUGUCUUUCUCCAGAACCUGAUAUAUUUUGGGUGCGUUUCAUCAGCUGAAGGGAAACUAAGAUUGCUCAUAUACUUUCUAUUCAUUUCCAGUGGCCUGGGUGUCUUGGCUGUGGUAUUCUGUGGAUAUAGAACUUUUGUCUCUGCUGUAAUUGUAAACUUGGUUUCAACCGUUUCUGCAGCUUGUGCACACCAAGUUUUAGAAAAUGUUGUCAUUUCCAGACAGUGUGGGACUGUGGGACCCAGAACAGCGUGCAGUCUGAAUCUGUAUUCUCUGUAGGCUGCAGGGGUUGGUGGCAAUUGAGCCAAGUUCUGUAGGUAGAGGACUGUAGUCUCACUUCUGGGGUGAAAGGCAGGGUUCCAAGAUGGACUCUGGUCCAGAGCAUUGCUGUGGUCGAAUAGGAGCUUGCUGGCUGUGAUGAAUUAAUUAGAUGACUUACCUUGAAGCUUUAUUGCACCUUUGGUAAUCUGUUCCACUUUAAAAAUACCCCAGUUAUAUAAUUCUGAGAAUUGAACCCUAUUUAAUAGUAAUUUAUAAAGCUUAUUGAAUUCAUUUUUUUAUUAUUAAAACAACUCACAAGCUUCCUCAAACUCUGAAUCCUAGGUCUCCUGGACCAUGCUGUAGCAGCUGGUGGAGGGUGGUUGGUUCCAUGUGGAUGAAGCCAGGUGGUGGGAGAACUCUAGCUUGCUUGUGGGAAGCAGAGUGGUCUUCGUGGAAUAUGGUUGUGGGGAAAGAGGGAGUUUCUAGCAUAUAUAUUCCAGCGUAUAUAUGAGAAUAGCGCAGUUAAAGUGGGAUCAGAGUCCCAUAAACCAAGGUGUGUGUGGGGGUGGAGGGCUGGAAGAGUUCAGGGCCUCAUUGAAACCUCCUCCUGAUUUUGGAAGAGAGGCCAGACCCCAUGUCCUCAGAAGCGCUCUGAACUGCCUUAGCCAGGCCUUCCUUGCAGUGACCACACUUCUCUGAGUCCAGCCAAGGAAAAUUCUGUGGAGUCGGGGUGGUGGUGCCAGGAUCAGCGUCUUUCCUUAGUAAUCGCUCCUCUACCUGAGAAAUAAAACAGCACCUCGCAGAAUAAAUACAAGGUGGAUGUGCUCAGCACCGUUAGACAGUCAGACAUCCUUCAGAGCUGGUGAAUUUGUGUGUAUGGGGCGGGUGGAGCUGGUUCCUCUGGAUUAUUUUCUGCCAGCUCCAGAGGAGUGGACCCAAGUCCCUGUAGCUUGCAUUCCUUACUUCCACCUCCACCAGGUUUCUGGGUGAUGUGUGUGGGGUGUACGUGCGGGGCUGUAAGGUGGGGGGUGUUGCUAAGAGGUGGAAACCACCCCACCCCUUUCUGACAGAUUCCCCGCCAAAAGCAAAAGCAGGAGGGUGGGGGCGGGAAGAGAACGGUCGGGGGUUGUUCCCUCCUCUUCCCUUGUGGCUAAGGGGGUCGGGGCAACUUUCUUUCUCCUCUUUGCAUUUCCUUCCUCCUUUUAUUCCCUUUGGUUUUUCUAUCGCGGGCAGUAUUCCUUUUCUUCCGAUGUUUCUGCUGUCUUUCUCUUUGUCUUUCCUUUUGGCGCUCAGUCUCUGUGCUCCAGAGACGGCACCCCCUUUCCCCAGUCCGCAGAGACCCCCUUUCCCUCCGGCUAGGGGGCAGCCGGUCUUCAGGCCCCGAGGGCCGAGCUUUGUGUCCACGUGGCGCUAAGUUUCUCCGCCUCAGCGCGUGAGUCCCUCCGCAGUGGCCGGGGCGGCUGUCGGAGCUGGCGUCCGCUUGUCUGUCCGUCUGCCCGCAGGAUGACCGAGAGGCCGCCCAGCGAGGCGGCACGCAGUGACCCCCAGCUAGAGGGACGGGACGCG